GAUCGGUGCUUGCACCGAGAUUCAACAUGGAACGAGUGGCGGACGGGUGAGUAACACGUGGGUAACCUGCCCUUAAGUGGGGGAUAACAUUUGGAAACAGAUGCUAAUACCGCAUAGAUCCAAGAACCGCAGGGUUCUUGGCUGAAAGAUGGCGUAAGCUAUCGCUUUUGGAUGGACCCGCGGCGUAUUAGCUAGUUGGUGAGGUAAUGGCUCACCAAGGCGAUGAUACGUAGCCGAACUGAGAGGUUGAUCGGCCACAUUGGGACUGAGACACGGCCCAAACUCCUACGGGAGGCAGCAGUAGGGAAUCUUCCACAAUGGACGCAAGUCUGAUGGAGCAACGCCGCGUGAGUGAAGAAGGCUUUCGGGUCGUAAAACUCUGUUGUUGGAGAAGAAUGGUCGGCAGAGUAACUGUUGUCGGCGUGACGGUAUCCAACCAGAAAGCCACGGCUAACUACGUGCCAGCAGCCGCGGUAAUACGUAGGUGGCAAGCGUUAUCCGGAUUUAUUGGGCGUAAAGCGAGCGCAGGCGGUUUUUUAAGUCUGAUGUGAAAGCCCUCGGCUUAACCGAGGAAGCGCAUCGGAAACUGGGAAACUUGAGUGCAGAAGAGGACAGUGGAACUCCAUGUGUAGCGGUGAAAUGCGUAGAUAUAUGGAAGAACACCAGUGGCGAAGGCGGCUGUCUGGUCUGUAACUGACGCUGAGGCUCGAAAGCAUGGGUAGCGAACAGGAUUAGAUACCCUGGUAGUCCAUGCCGUAAACGAUGAAUGCUAGGUGUUGGAGGGUUUCCGCCCUUCAGUGCCGCAGCUAACGCAUUAAGCAUUCCGCCUGGGGAGUACGACCGCAAGGUUGAAACUCAAAGGAAUUGACGGGGGCCCGCACAAGCGGUGGAGCAUGUGGUUUAAUUCGAAGCAACGCGAAGAACCUUACCAGGUCUUGACAUCUUUUGAU
This 950-nucleotide ribosomal RNA is filed under the name Lacticaseibacillus paracasei. RNAcentral's name for it is "bacterial SSU rRNA". It matches the Rfam family "Bacterial small subunit ribosomal RNA", at positions 71 to 995 of the family's 1533-position model. Lineage: Bacteria; Bacillati; Bacillota; Bacilli; Lactobacillales; Lactobacillaceae. The record is from RNAcentral.